AAUUCAUGAGUUGGGCAUUGAGUUAUCAGUUCUUUAAACCUUGCCCAUGUCUCAUGGAUCCUUUCACCUUCCAUUUGUUUGAAGGUUAGGAUGCGAUCCCUGAACAU
Molecule: non-coding RNA, 107 nt
Organism: Solanum tuberosum (potato)
Lineage: Eukaryota; Viridiplantae; Streptophyta; Magnoliopsida; Solanales; Solanaceae
Source: Rfam